UGAGCAAUCUGCCCUUCUCUUCGGAAUAAGCGUGGGAAACCGCGUCUAAUGCCGAAUACGACCUCCUUUCGCAUGAUCGGAGGUGGAAAGCUCCGGCGGAGAAGGAUGAGCUCGCGGCCUAUCAGCUAGUUGGUGAGGUAACGGCUCACCAAGGCUUCGACGGGUAGCCGGCCUGAGAGGGCGACCGGCCACACUGGGACUGAGACACGGCCCAGACCUCCGUACGGGGAGNAGCG
Molecule: ribosomal RNA, 236 nt
Filed under: uncultured bacterium
Lineage: Bacteria
Description: partial 16S ribosomal RNA
Rfam family: Bacterial small subunit ribosomal RNA
Source: RNAcentral